GGGCCUGUCGUUCAACGGAUAGGACUCCCGGCUUCGAACCGGGCGAUGAGGGUUCAAUUCCUUCUGGGCCCACCA
This 75-nucleotide transfer RNA is filed under the name Comamonas odontotermitis. Its description in RNAcentral is "tRNA-Arg". It matches the Rfam family "tRNA". From Rfam's summary of the family: Transfer RNA (tRNA) molecules are approximately 80 nucleotides in length. Their secondary structure includes four short double-helical elements and three loops (D, anti-codon, and T loops). Further hydrogen bonds mediate the characteristic L-shaped molecular structure. tRNAs have two regions of fundamental functional importance: the anti-codon, which is responsible for specific mRNA codon recognition, and the 3' end, to which the tRNAs corresponding amino acid is attached (by aminoacyl-tRNA synthetases). tRNAs cope with the degeneracy of the genetic code in two manners: having more than one tRNA (with a specific anti-codon) for a particular amino acid; and 'wobble' base-pairing, i.e. permitting non-standard base-pairing at the 3rd anti-codon position. The record is from RNAcentral. RNAcentral also lists the same sequence under 2 other names. Lineage: Bacteria; Pseudomonadati; Pseudomonadota; Betaproteobacteria; Burkholderiales; Comamonadaceae.